GCCGCUAUCGUCUAACGGUUAGGACACAGGGUUCUCAAUCCUAUAAUCGGGGUUCGAUUCCCCGUAGCGGUACCA
This 75-nucleotide transfer RNA is filed under the name Candidatus Goldiibacteriota bacterium HGW-Goldbacteria-1. RNAcentral's name for it is "Candidatus Goldbacteria bacterium HGW-Goldbacteria-1 tRNA-Glu". It matches the Rfam family "tRNA". Rfam says of the family: Transfer RNA (tRNA) molecules are approximately 80 nucleotides in length. Lineage: Bacteria; Candidatus Goldiibacteriota. RNAcentral also lists the same sequence under 1 other name. The record is from RNAcentral.